RNAcentral lists this ribosomal RNA (1120 nucleotides) under Coconut lethal yellowing phytoplasma. RNAcentral's name for it is "bacterial SSU rRNA". The stretch from base 1 to 997 matches the Rfam family "Bacterial small subunit ribosomal RNA", at positions 535 to 1533 of the family's 1533-position model. Lineage: Bacteria; Bacillati; Mycoplasmatota; Mollicutes; Acholeplasmatales; Acholeplasmataceae. The record is from RNAcentral.
CGAGCGUUAUCCGGAAUUAUUGGGCGUAAAGGGUGCGUAGGCGGUUUAGUAAGUCUCUAGUUUAAAUUCAACGCUUAACGUUGUCCCGCUAGAGAAACUACUAGACUAGAGUAAGAUAGAGGCAAGCGGAAUUCCAUGUGUAGCGGUAAAAUGUGUAAAUAUAUGGAGGAACACCAGAGGCGUAGGCGGCUUGCUGGGUCUUUACUGACGCUGAGGCACGAAAGCGUGGGGAGCAAACAGGAUUAGAUACWCCUGGUAGUCACGCCGYAAAACGAUGAGUACUAAGUGUCGGGGGUUUCCUCGGUACUGAAGUUAACACAUUAAGUACUCCGCCUGAGUAGUACGUACGCAAGUAUGAAACUUAAAGGAAUUGACGGGAUCCCGCACAAGCGGUGGAUCAUGUUGUUUAAUUCGAAGAUACACGAAAAACCUUACCAGGUCUUGACAUUAUCCUGCGAAGCUAUAGAAAUAUAGGGGAGGUUAUCAGGAUAACAGGUGGUGCAUGGUUGUCGUCAGCUCGUGUCGUGAGAUGUUAGGUUAAGUCCUAAAACGAGCGCAACCCUUGUCGUUAGUUACCAGCACGUUAUGGUGGGGACUUUAGCGAGACUGCCAAUGAAAAAAUUGGAGGAAGGUGAGGAUUACGUCAAAUCAUCAUGCCCCUUAUGAUCUGGGCUACAAACGUGAUACAAUGGCUAUUACAAAGAGCAGCUGAAACGUGAGUUGUUAGCUAAUCUCAAAAAAAUAGUCUCAGUUCGGAUUGAAGUCUGCAACUCGACUUCAUGAAGUUGGAAUCGCUAGUAAUCGCGAAUCAGCAUGUCGCGGUGAAUACGUUCUCGGGGUUUGUACACACCGCCCGUCAAACCAUGAAAGUUGACAAUACCCAAAACCAGUCGCUUAACUACUUCGGUAGAGGGAGCUGUCUAAGGUAGGGUCGAUGAUUGGGGUUAAGUCGUAACAAGGUAUCCCUACCGGAAGGUGGGGAUGGAUCACCUCCUUUCUAAGGAAAUGUCGUAUCAUGAUCAUCUUCAGUUUUGAAAGACUUAGAGUAGAUAAGUUUUUCUUUUGGCGUAGAGGAAGGGCCUAUAGCUCAGUUGGUAGAGCACACGCUUGAUAAGCGUGC